Molecule: long non-coding RNA, 245 nt
Filed under: Elaeis guineensis (African oil palm)
Lineage: Eukaryota; Viridiplantae; Streptophyta; Magnoliopsida; Arecales; Arecaceae
Description: long non-coding RNA (EGUI_LNC066733)
Source: RNAcentral
CUGCUGCAGCCUUUCUUGUAGAUCUGUUGAUGGAGAUCUCACCCGUGCCUCAAACGAUCUCAGAUCAACUCCAGAUCUGAGAGAAACUUGCACCAACCUCUCCUCAAGAGAUUUCAAGUCUUGGACGUGAUAUUUGGGUGGCUGCAAGAGAGGGAGAAGAGAGAGAGUCGGUGGCUGCAAGGGGGAAGGGGCUAGCGCCUCCCUUCUUUCUUUUCUUAUCUGGACCGGCGGCAAGAAACCCUAGG